This 238-nucleotide long non-coding RNA is filed under the name Elaeis guineensis (African oil palm). Its description in RNAcentral is "long non-coding RNA (EGUI_LNC061091)". Lineage: Eukaryota; Viridiplantae; Streptophyta; Magnoliopsida; Arecales; Arecaceae. The record is from RNAcentral.
UAUAUACAAGGGCAACAUUAUUUAAGUAUGACCAUAUGGGAUGGAAGGGUUAACUUAACUAGAACACUAUAGUUUGUUGUACUAUUCAUAAGACUAUGAGUGAUCUAAAGGCAAGAGAGAAAAAUAUUGAGAGUUGUAUGAAGUAUAAUUGGUAAAGAGUUAUCUACUCUUGAACUCAUGAAUGCUUGUUAUGCUAUCCAUAAGGUGUUUAUGAGGAAUAGGGAUCUCAACCCCACUA